This 1384-nucleotide long non-coding RNA is filed under the name Gallus gallus (chicken). RNAcentral describes it as "lncRNA (ENSGALG00010003912.1)". The record is from RNAcentral. Lineage: Eukaryota; Metazoa; Chordata; Aves; Galliformes; Phasianidae.
CCUAUGAAUAAUACCACCUGUGGUACUGAGGGUUCUGUAACAGUGGUAGGCUUUACCAUACUAUUGCUUGCAGUCUACCUGGCUAUUGCUAGCCAAAUAAAAGUUUUGAGGCACAAACGGAGCCAAUGAAACAAUCCUUUUUAGACACUAAAUUAUUUCCUUCCUGUUCAUGUCAUGCUUGAAAAAUGUGUGGAUAUCAAACAAGUGCAUAAUAUCUAAUGAAAUGUAGACUUUGAAAAGCUCUUAGAAGCCUUCAGAUCAACCUCUGAAAUGUGAUGAUGCUCAGCAUACAGGAAGAAAUAUAUUGCUCCAUACAGACCUCAGAACACUCAUGAAAAUACAACACAAAGUAUACAAAGUCUCAGCAAAGAUUCUAAUAAAACUUUACAGGCUUUGGAGCACGAAAACAGAGCAGGAACAACAGAUUGCUAUGAUUUUAGAGAACUUUGUGGUUUUCCCUGUUUGCCAAUGCAAAAUGUCAAGGAUGGGAACCCAGGGAAAAGGAAAUCUACAGCUUUCAGACUUUUUGCUGUCCUAUGCAACCAUGGUAAUUAAGGCCAUCAUAUUUUUAAGCAUAUUGAUUUCUACAACACCUCUGCAAGGUAAACCCAACUCCCCUGUUUUACAGAGGCACCAGAAAACUGAUUAUGUUGAAAAUCACACCAUGAAGAGAGAAUCAAAUUCAGGUUUCACAAAUCCCAGGUACCUCCAUCCUCAGGAAAGGUUUGCAAAAGUCUUCAAAAGCUUCGCUUUCUCUCCAUUCAACAAAAGAUUAAUUUGUGAAAAUUUAGACUAGCAUUUGACUGAAAAUAUUAACCAAAUAUAUGCUCCGAACGAAUCUCUUUUGAACACUGCAAAGUGGCAUUACUUUGGAACUUUUGAAUUGUGUGUGCUUUUUCUACCUUUUUCUUUUUCUUUUUUUCUUUUUUUUUUUUCUUUUUUUUUUUUUCUAUUUCUGUCAAGAAAAAAAGAAGCCUUUACUGGCUGAAUAAAUGCAGCCAUUCGGGCGGUGGUAUCUAGAAACUACAAGAUUAGACAAGUAAAAUCUACCACAACACCUGCUGCUCUUCUAGAUGCCCCACAUGCAGCAUUUUUAGCAAGAAUUACUGAGUCAAGAGAUAUCUAAUUAACACUUACUCCUUGUGUUUUUCGAAUCUGACCCAGGUGCAGCAGUGAAUAUGCAAGCUGAAGUUUCAGUUUUCUAGCUUUCAGUUUUUAAUGAAAAAACCACUUUUCUAUCAAACAACUGUUUUAGUUGAAGUCUUUUUUUUUGUUGUUCAGCCCCAUUGCCAAGUGCUCUCAAGCCCUAUUAAUUCUCUGUGUACAGGCAUUUAGUAUCUCUCUAAGUGCCCAAUACUUUUAUACUUGACCCUCUGGGAUCAAC